This 516-nucleotide ribosomal RNA is filed under the name Nemertea sp. RCMB0285. RNAcentral describes it as "partial 16S ribosomal RNA". It matches the Rfam family "Bacterial large subunit ribosomal RNA", at positions 1817 to 2597 of the family's 2925-position model. The record is from RNAcentral. Lineage: Eukaryota; Metazoa; Nemertea.
AGCUUGCUGUUUUUUUGUAGUAAGUGUUUUCUGCCCGGUGUUUAGUAAACGGCCGCGGUAUUUUGACCGUGCAAAGGUAGCAUAAUCAUUUGUUCUUUAAUUGGGGACUGGAAUGAAAGAAAGAAUUGAAACUGGUGCUGUCUCUUUUUUUUGGUUGGAAGUUGCUUUUUUUGUGAAGAAGCAAAGAUUUAAAAAAAAGACAAGAAGACCCUAUUAAGCUUUACUCUUUUUUGCUUUGGAUAUGUGCUUUCGUUUAGUAUUUUUUAUAAGUUUUUAAUUUGAGUUUAGUUGGGGCGACUAAAAAGGAUCAAAAGCCUUUUUUUGUUUUUAAGAUUUUUGGAUUUAAGGAUGACCCAGAAUUUUUUGGCUGAAGGAAUUAGUUACUGUAGGGAUAACAGCGUAAUUUUUUUGUAAAGUUCUUAUUGAAAAUAAAGUUUGCGACCUCGAUGUUGACUUUUUAUUUCCUCUUAAGGUGCAGGAGCUGGGAGGGUUAGUCUGUUCGACUAUUAAAAUAAA